Molecule: ribosomal RNA, 465 nt
Filed under: Vreelandella stevensii
Lineage: Bacteria; Pseudomonadati; Pseudomonadota; Gammaproteobacteria; Oceanospirillales; Halomonadaceae
Description: partial 16S ribosomal RNA
Rfam family: Bacterial small subunit ribosomal RNA
Source: RNAcentral
CCUACGUGCGGCAGCAGUGGGGAAUAUUGGACAAUGGGCGAAAGCCUGAUCCAGCCAUGCCGCGUGUGUGAAGAAGGCCUUCGGGUUGUAAAGCACUUUCAGUGGGGAAGAAAGCCUUGGGGCUAAUACCCUCGAGGAAGGACAUCACCCACAGAAGAAGCACCGGCUAACUCCGUGCCAGCAGCCGCGGUAAUACGGAGGGUGCGAGCGUUAAUCGGAAUUACUGGGCGUAAAGCGCGCGUAGGCGGUCUGAUAAGCCGGUUGUGAAAGCCCCGGGCUCAACCUGGGAACGGCAUCCGGAACUGUCAGGCUAGAGUGCAGGAGAGGAAGGUAGAAUUCCCGGUGUAGCGGUGAAAUGCGUAGAGAUCGGGAGGAAUACCAGUGGCGAAGGCGGCCUUCUGGACUGACACUGACGCUGAGGUGCGAAAGAGUGGGUAGCAAACAGGAUUAGAUACCCCAGUAGUC